Molecule: RNase P RNA, 325 nt
Filed under: bovine gut metagenome
Description: Bacterial RNase P class A
Rfam family: Bacterial RNase P class A
About the family: Ribonuclease P (RNase P) is a ubiquitous endoribonuclease, found in archaea, bacteria and eukarya as well as chloroplasts and mitochondria. Its best characterised activity is the generation of mature 5'-ends of tRNAs by cleaving the 5'-leader elements of precursor-tRNAs. Cellular RNase Ps are ribonucleoproteins.
Source: RNAcentral
AGGUGACUAGGCGAUCGCGUGCCCGAAAGGGUAUGAGGAAAGUCCGAGCACUACAGGGCAGGGUGCCGGCUAACGGCCGGUGGAGGCGACUCCAAGGAGAGUGCAACAGAGAGAUACCGCCGGAUUGAUCCGGUAAGGAUGGAAAGGCGAGGUAAGAGCUCACCCACGGCCUGGCGACUCGUCCGUGAUGUAAACCCCACCCGGUGCAAGAUGGAUAGGGACUAUCAGUGGCCCGCUGCGUUCCUGAAAUCGCUUGAGCCUGCGCGGCAACGCCAGGUCUGGAUAGAUGAUCGUCCUCGACAGAACUCGGCUUACAGUCACGCUC